Molecule: ribosomal RNA, 1367 nt
Filed under: uncultured bacterium
Lineage: Bacteria
Description: bacterial SSU rRNA
Rfam family: Bacterial small subunit ribosomal RNA
Source: RNAcentral
GACGAACGCUGGCGGCGUGCCUAAUACAUGCAAGUAGAACGCUGAAGGAGGAGCUUGCUUCUCUGGAUGAGUUGCGAACGGGUGAGUAACGCGUAGGUAACCUGCCUGGUAGCGGGGGAUAACUAUUGGAAACGAUAGCUAAUACCGCAUAAGAGUGGAUGUUGCAUGACAUUUGCUUAAAAGGUGCACUUGCAUCACUACCAGAUGGACCUGCGUUGUAUUAGCUAGUUGGUGGGGUAAGGGCUCACCAAGGCGACGAUACAUAGCCGACCUGAGAGGGUGAUCGGCCACACUGGGACUGAGACACGGCCCAGACUCCUACGGGAGGCAGCAGUAGGGAAUCUUCGGCAAUGGACGGAAGUCUGACCGAGCAACGCCGCGUGAGUGAAGAAGGUUUUCGGAUCGUAAAGCUCUGUUGUAAGAGAAGAACGAGUGUGAGAGUGGAAAGUUCACACUGUGACGGUAUCUUACCAGAAAGGGACGGCUAACUACGUGCCAGCAGCCGCGGUAAUACGUAGGUCCCGAGCGUUGUCCGGAUUUAUUGGGCGUAAAGCGAGCGCAGGCGGUUAGAUAAGUCUGAAGUUAAAGGCUGUGGCUUAACCAUAGUAGGCUUUGGAAACUGUUUAACUUGAGUGCAAGAGGGGAGAGUGGAAUUCCAUGUGUAGCGGUGAAAUGCGUAGAUAUAUGGAGGAACACCGGUGGCGAAAGCGGCUCUCUGGCUUGUAACUGACGCUGGGGCUCGAAAGCGUGGGGAGCAAACAGGAUUAGGUACCCUGGUAGUCCACGCUGUAAACGAUGAGUGCUAGGUGUUAGACCCUUUCCGGGGUUUAGUGCCGUAGCUAACGCAUUAAGCACUCCGCCUGGGGAGUACGACCGCAAGGUUGAAACUCAAAGGAAUUGACGGGGGCCCGCACAAGCGGUGGAGCAUGUGGUUUAAUUCGAAGCAACGCGAAGAACCUUACCAGGUCUUGACAUCCCUCUGACCGCUCUAGAGAUAGAGCUUUCCUUCGGGACAGAGGUGACAGGUGGUGCAUGGUUGUCGUCGGCUCGUGUCGUGAGAUGUUGGGUUAAGUCCCGCAACGAGCGCAACCCCUAUUGUUAGUUGCCAUCAUUUAGUUGGGCACUCUAGCGAGACUGCCGGUAAUAAACCGGAGGAAGGUGGGGAUGACGUCAAAUCAUCAUGCCCCUUAUGACCUGGGCUACACACGUGCUACAAUGGCCGGUACAACGAGUCGCAAGCCGGUGACGGCAAGCUAAUCUCUUAAAGCCAGUCUCAGUUCGGAUUGUAGGCUGCAACUCGCCUACAUGAAGUCGGAAUCGCUAGUAAUCGCGGAUCAGCACGCCGCGGUGAAUACGUUCCCGGGCCU